UCUCCCAAAUGCUAUCUGGCCUGCAAUAGGAGGAUAGUCUGGGUUUAUGGAGUUAACAUCCUACCAGCCCACAACCUCACUAGCUUGCCACAUGUCUCUCUGAGGAAGUGACUAAUGUCAAACCACCUUUACAGCAGAUAAGGAUUCUCACAGAGAAAGAGGUGAGUCUCAGCAGGGCAGCCCAGGAAAGCACCAGCCUACUGCAAACUCACCCUCAGUGAAGCCAUGCUUUGGAGAUGUCCAGUCCUCUGCAUGUUUCUCUUCAGUAUGGGGACAUCUUUGGAUGUAAUUUUGGAACCAGUUGCCAAAACUUUUACUGUCAUAGCUGGGAAUCCUGCCACCUUCUACUGCACUGUAACAGGAGGGGACUUGAAGAAUUAUCAAAUGAGCUGGUACAAGAAGAGUGAAAAUAAUGCUUUGUUUUUAGUAUACAAGCUAAAUAACAAUUCUACUGAUGAUCCAAUGGGCAACUUCAAAGGGAAAAUUAACAUUUCAAAAAGUCAGUUUAUACUUGACAUUCAAAAGGCAACAAUGAAAGAUGCUGGGGUCUACUACUGUGGGUCAGAUAUCCACGGUGCUACAGUACUGCUUCUGAUCCCUUCAAGAAAGGCUAGGGUCAAAGGAAGGUGGCAGACCCAAUGAGAGACCAUCUCAGGCUGAGCUUCACAGAACAUCUGAGAUGAGACCUCCUGAUUACCUUAACAGUCACCUCCGAUAAGAAAGGCUAGAACUGAGUUGGGGCAAGACCCACCCUUUGAAGUUUCUAUAUCAGUUGAGGAGAGAAGACAAGGUUGUGUGGAGAGACCAACAACACCUCAACCUUCUCAACCCAUGGGGCCCUCAUAUUAAAACAAUGAACAGAUGAGCAGAACGUCUUCCAUCGUGAGGGUUGUAACUCACUGCAAUCUUUAUGGUGGAAGCUUCUUGUGCAGAAGCUAGACAAAAUGAAGAUGGUUUUCUAUUAGCAUUUUAAUCAAAGUUUCCAAGCUAUUAGCAAUGGUUUUAACUCUUACUCUGAAGACUGGGGAGAGACGUUGUCUGAAAUGUUUUCAUGACUGAGUCAGGUUAAAGGCUUCAUAUCUUAGCUAGAAAGGAGUCCUGAGGCCCCGCGGGCAUAGGCAGAAAAGGGUAAUACACAGGUUUCCUUCACACUGGUUAUGAGAAGGAUCUUGUAAACAAGUAAUAGACCUGGUAAUAUGGGCUGGGUUGACCAUGAAUCAAGUGAAUAAGAUACUUGGAUUAGCACCUAAGAAGGACUGAGUCCACAGAGCGUAAGGUCUGAAAGAACCCAGGAAACAGACUGGAGGGAAGAUGCACCUUUAAAGAUGCCACUAUUCGGGAAUGUAUUCUAGCAGCCAGCGUUUCUUCUGCUCAGAUAGCUCUUUGGAUUCUUCUCCUCACACAAAGCUGACUUUAGCAUAUGUAGCAGAAAUGUAGUAGAAACUAAAAGUCAGAUCCUGAGGUGGCUUCCAGUCAACUCUCCUUCUACUGUCACCUUUACCACACACUAUUUAAAGCCACUGAUGUCAUUCCUGGUAUUAAGAUAAGUCAUGAGAAUAAAAAAAGGGGGCAGGGAUUUUUAUCAAUGCGCUUACAGUUUUUCUUUAGAAAGCCUAUUUUCAGCAAUUAUAAUUAAAGAUUACGAAGUGGGAAGGGGGAAAUAAUUAAAGAUUGCCAGAGUACAAAAAUGCAAGGAAUAAAUAUGAAUAAAUAAUGAUAUGUGUGAUAAUGUCA
Non-coding RNA from Rattus norvegicus (Norway rat), 1734 nucleotides. NCBI's taxonomy places the organism in Eukaryota, Metazoa, Chordata, Mammalia, Rodentia, Muridae. The record is from RefSeq and is a predicted model, not a curated record.